GAUGAACGCUAGCUACAGGCUUAACACAUGCAAGUCGAGGGGAAACGAUAGAGAAAGCUUGCUUUUUCUAGGCGUCGACCGGCGCACGGGUGAGUAACGCGUAUCCAACCUGCCCAUCACUUGGGGAUAACCUUGCGAAAGUAAGACUAAUACCCAAUGACGUCUCUAGAAGACAUCUGAAAGAGAUUAAAGAUUUAUCGGUGAUGGCUGGGGAUGCGUCUGAUUAGCUUGGUGGCGGGGGAACGGCCCACCAAAGCGACGAUCAGUAGGGGCUCUGAGAGGAAGGUCCCCCACAUUGGAGCUGAGACACGGUCCAAACUCCGACGGGAGGCAGCAGUGAGGAAUAUUGGUCAAUGGGCGAGAGCCUGAACCAGCCAAGUAGCGUGCAGGAUGACGGCCCUAUGGGUUUUAAACUGCUUUUAUAAGGGAAUAAAGUGAGUCUCGUGAGACUUUUUGCAUGUACCUUAUGAAUAAGGACCGGCUAAUUCCGUGCCAGCAGCCGCGGUAA
RNAcentral lists this ribosomal RNA (508 nucleotides) under uncultured bacterium. Its description in RNAcentral is "partial 16S ribosomal RNA". It matches the Rfam family "Bacterial small subunit ribosomal RNA", at positions 28 to 523 of the family's 1533-position model. The record is from RNAcentral.